UUCUUACUGGAAGCGGAGUUUCAAGAUAGGCAGAGGAAUAAAACUUCUAACUUUGCAAUCACCUCCUCAUUCCUUGUUCUGUAGUGUGAGCCAUUUUUCAAACAUAAUUUUCUAGAUGCAUGAUGAUGAUGGGGUUAAUGUAAUAUCAAGGUUUGAGGCAAAAUGAAUGUGCAAGCUGAUAUUUCCAGGAGUUAUUUAUUUUACAGAGAAACAGAGAGACUGUGAGUGGGGGGAGGGGCAGAGGGAGAGAAUCUCCAAGCAAACUUCCUGCUGAGCCUGGAGCCUAUAUGUGAGCCUCCAUCCCAUGACCCAUGAGAUCAUUACCUGAGCUGAAACCAAGAUUUGGACACUCAACCAACGGAGUCACCCAGGCACCCAUACUUUUUUCUUUUUUAUCCUAUUUCUGAAGUCCUCAGCUUUGGAGAUUAUUCUAAAAGGGUCUAGAAAGCUCUUGGAAAAUUCUCAGAGACACCUAAAAUGUUCUCGGAGGAUUCUGCUUGUUGUGGCUGGUUAUGCAUCAAGAUGAGAGCAGAGAUUUCAGAGAAGGCCUGCUCCUGAGUCACAGAAUGAAUAAUUAGCACACAAAACUCUCUUCACCUGCUAGUAAACGCCAAACAAUAAUUAACAAUUCCAGAAUAUCCUCACACUCAGUAUAGGGACACCCAGUUUUCUAAAAAAAAAAAAAAAAAGAGGGGUGGCAUGAGGGUAGGAAGGAAGGUAGGUCAUGAAAUCACAACAGCUUUCUUAUGCGAAAGAACAUGACAGAAUAUACAAACACCAUCAGAGAGAGAUCUAAGAAGAAAAACAGAGGACAAGAGCAGAGACGAACCUUGAAAACAAGACAAGGUUCUUGUUAGUGGAAUGAGCCAGACACAAUAGGGGGAAUAUUGUAGGAUUCCACUGAAUAUCUUCAGGCACCUAGAAAUGGCCAUUCAUUGAGAUGGAAAAUAAAAGAGGUGUCCCUGGGGACGGCUGGGAGAGGAGAAUGAAAAGUGAGUGUUGAAUGGGCACAGGGUUUCUUUGGAAUGAUGAAAAAGUUUGGGAAAUGGGUAUUGAUGAGGGUAGCACAACACUGUAAAUGUACUUAAUGCCACCUAAUUAUACCCUUGAAACUGGUUACAAGGGUAAACUUUGCUAUGCACAUAUUUCCACAGUAAAACAUAUAUACAUACAAUGAAAACAAGCAAAUGCAAAAAGCAAGCAUGAGACACCGUGUGACACAAAAUGACUGAUGCUACCUUGUCAUGAACCUAGAGAAUAGAAAAAAGAAUUUUCAGAAUAAAAGGAAUUCAACUAGAUUCUCAUCUGUGAGGAUGAUAUCAUGUUUUCCAUUGAGGAAAAAAUAAUAGACGAUCAAAUAACAGAAGAGAAAAACACCCAGGACUGAGUAGUGCUGUUUCUGAGAUGGAGAGGAGAUAAGUAGAACAGGUUAUAAUAUCCUGUCUAUGUAUGAUGGUUUUACUAAAGUUAAUGUAUUCCUUAGGCUAUCAUCCUUACUUGUGAAGAGGAAAAACAAGGAAGAAAGAGCCUGUCCCUGAUAAACAGCGAGUUGGCUGGAGGGAAUGAGAGUCUUUUCCACCAAGUCCAGGGAUAUGGCAUUGGAGCACAAAUGGUGAAACUGUUUAAAGUCCAAUAGAAAGGCAAUAAAGAACAAAAUUAGAAAA
Long non-coding RNA from Mustela lutreola (European mink), 1664 nucleotides. RefSeq lists it as uncharacterized. The transcript has 2 exons. Lineage: Eukaryota; Metazoa; Chordata; Mammalia; Carnivora; Mustelidae. The record is from RefSeq and is a predicted model, not a curated record.